CACCACCACCACCACCACCAUCUCCUCUCUCCUCUCCCCUCCCUCUCUCGACUCCCCUCUGCUUCAAGUGUCUUCUUGGCUGCGUUUCCUCCAUCCGGGGUUUUUAUCGCACGCCAGAUGUCUUUUGAAGGGAGCGAGAGACACUCGUCAUUUCUUCGUUGUGUCUACAUUUUCAUGAUCCGCGGAAGGCUCUGCUGCACCGGGAAGAUCCUGUUUCGGCAUUGGACCUGACGGAUCGUUGUUUACUUCGCAGCUUUUACUUUUCAGUUUAGUUGUUUGUUUACGACCUUUGGUAAUUCCUCUGGGAAAAAAAAGGGGGACUCCGACACUCUCAGUUUUUAAGAUUAAGAAAAAAGAAUUUUGCUCUAUUUGGUGCUUGUGAAGAGGAACUCUCGAAAUUUGGCUUGGUCUCCCCGAUGGCGAUAACAUCUCUUCCUCCGGGUUUCCGUUUUCAUCCUACUGAUGUCGAGUUGGUCAUGUUUUACCUCAAGAGAAAAGUGCUUGGAAAGAGGUUUCCUAUUGAAGCAAUUGCAGAGGUUGAUAUAUAUAAGUUUCCUCCUUGGGAUCUUCAAGGUAAAGCUUGUUUGAGUAGAGAUCUGAAGUGGUAUUUCUUCUGUCCCCGUGGGAGGAAAUAUGCAACUGGUGCUAGAACAAACCGAUCGACUGAUUUUGGGUUCUGGAAAACUACUGGAAAUGACAGGCCUGUAAUUUACAAGGAUGAACCUGUGGGAAUGAUAAAAAGCUUAAUUUUUCAUCGUCGCUUGGGCGGGGAACGUAAGUCAGAGCGAACAGAUUGGGUGAUGCACGAGUAUAGGCUUGAGGAUGAGGGUUUGAAGACGCAAGGGGUGGCACAGGAUGCAUUUGUACUUUGUGUGAUCUACCAGAAAGAUGGUCCUGGUCCCAAAAAUGGUGCCCAAUACGGAGCACCCUUCGAUGAGGAAGAAUGGGAGGAUGAUGGAGAAGCUGAUGUCCCCUCCGUUAGCGCUUUCACUCAGGCAUUUAUUUUACCUGAUAAGCAGAAGCAUUAUGCUGGCAUCAGAAUUACAGAUCCUGAGCGAUACUGUGUGGAGUCCACAUCCAAGGCAUGCCCAGCUGGACCAUCUCAGAUGGUGCCUUCUGUUGUCAAUGUGCCUCCGCCAGCUCCUACCAAUGACGUCACAAUGGAGGGUCCUCAGAACCCCUGUGAUGAAUACCUUCUUUCACAUGGUAUCUUUGGUGAUGAUAUCCCUGCAGCAUUUUCUGAAAACGACAAAGUUGAGAACCCUGACCACGUCAAUCCUGAUGGAAUUCACGAAGCUGAAUUUACAAUGGAUGAUAUCUUCGAUGGUUUAGAAGACCUUCCUGACUCAUUGGCCCCAUCUCAUCACCUUAAUAAUUUUGCGGACACAAACUCUAAUGCAAAUAUGUUUCCUUUAAGUGAACCAUAUUUGGAGCUGAACGAUUUCAAUGCUGCAUUGACUUCAGUUGAUGCUGGUCCAUCUGGACGCAACCAUUCAGAGAGAUACCUCUCUGCAAAUGAUCAUUCUAUUGCUGCUCAGGGAUUCUGGACUCCAGUAAUUCCUGAUGAAAAUGCUCCUGGGUUGGGGUUGAUAGAUCUCGAGAGUCCGUUGACUUUCUCUGGUGAGGCUGGUCAAUCCAAUCAAGCGUAUGUCGAUGCCUUUUCUGCUCUGGGUGGUAGCGAUGGUUUAGGUGGAUUUGGCACCAUAUCCAAUUCUCCUGCUUUUGCUCAGCCAUUCCAUGGUUCAGAAGUAACUCAAGUUACUGAGGAUUUCCCUCAGUCGAGUCGGUACCCUCGGCUGGAGCCGAUGGAGGGCCAUGUGGAUAUGCACUGGGAGGGUCAUGGUGUUGGAGAAUGCACAAAUCAAGAGAUUGUAAGAUAUGGCGCUGGUGCAGCAAAUUCUGCUAUCAAUAAUCCCGAUUUAGGAUGUGCGCAUGCUUGCGAAAACCCAGGAAGAGGGGAAGAGACAAUUUUCUGUUGUAUCCUCCAUUUCUUGGAGUAUCCCACACAUCCGAGUUCUGCCGUAGAGCGCCCUGCUCCAUUUACUGGAGCAAAGAAAAUUGAUGGGCAUGCUCUCUUUCUUCUCUAUGGAGACUCCUCCUUCCAUGUCAAGGCCGAGGUGACUCUUGGAGGAGGUGGACGUGGGUGCACUAACGACGCUUUGUCACGCGGGUUGGAGGGGUUUCCGUUUGUUACUGAUUGCGAGGAGAACGGAAGUCGAUCAGGAAAAGGAGCGGCUAACUGCGGAUGUGGGAUCUUAUCAUCACUUGUACAGUUGACUCUCUCCGGUUACUAUGCUGGCCUCGCUGGGAGGACAUGUAUUAUUGGAGACUUGCACGAUACUUUUAGGUUAUUGUUUCUGGAGGUGGUGUGGCUGAUUGAACAGAUUUCUGUUUGGUGUGCCUGCAUUGAACGAUGGGUGUCUUUUGCGUCUCUGUUUGUGUUGUUCGUGUUUUCCUCGCUCUUUGGAAUUGGUAGUUUUUCAGCUCCCCACAUCACGUGCAGUUCAUUUAGUACACCGAUAUCAUUAGUUUCUAGAGUAGGGUCAUUUAAAUUGCUGAGGUUUCAGUUGAUCUCACCAAUCCGAGUGUUUCGAGAGUAAAUUCCAGCCGAGGAGGAAGAUCUGGAUGAGAAUGUGCUGAUUUCGAAACUAUAAACGGUCCAAAGACACUUCUGUAUCUUGGAAUAUUGCCUUAGCUUAGAAGUAAUCCUUUUUUGGCUUGAAGUUUUAAUCUUUUGAUUUCCCAUUUUGUGUAAUUUUGAUCUCUGACCUCCUUUCGCUUCAAAUUUGACAUUGAUUCUUGCUCGUGACCUGCAAAAUCGGAUCUACGCAAUCGAAUCGGAUUGUACGAAAGGGAUCCAUGGGAACUUUCCGAUCUAAGGUCACGUGCUAGGAUUGCUGUGCAAAUUUGACACUAUGGAGGGGUCAAAAUCACAAAAAACCAGAGGAGUUGAAGAGUUAGGGUGUCGGAUCAUAAAGGCUAGGGAUGAAAUUGUAGAAAUGAUCAUGCUUUAUAGUUUAUUCAUAAUUACUUUAAGAUUUAGUCAAUUUCUUUCUUCUCCGUUUAUGGGUCGAUAUUGUUGUUAAAGUACUAAUGCUUGUCUGACCGGACCUGUUUUAGCAACUGUUUUUCUGCUUGUUAGUUGCCCAGACACUAAGUACGAUUGGGAAUGUGCCAGUUUUGAUGACUAAGAAAGGAGUAGAAAACAGAGGUAUAGAACAUCAGUUCGCAUCCCGUAAGGCCACUUUAGAACCGGACUUCGUUGGGCAAACUUUGUUAGUCAAAACCAGCCAAGGUGGGUCGUCGGACAUUCUAAUCCUUUAGUGAGUCCCCAUGCUGGUCUGUACGGGCUCUAUUAAGUCUUUGUCGCACCUUGCCUUUGGCUUGAUCGUAUUAAUCGAUUGAUUGUACCAAUUGAAGUACGAUAGGGUUGGGUAUUAAGGGUGCGUUUGGCAACACGUUUGCAAAACCCUUAGGACCUCUAAAGGUUUUUGGGCAAAUGCGAAUGUGUUUGGCACAAACAUUGUUUAAAACCCAUUUGAAAAAUGCUAGUAUUUCCAAGUACCCUCCAAGGGCCUUGGCAAGCGGAGAGGAGCGUGGAGAAGGCAGCUUUCUCGGCGUGCAACAUGUACUGAGUCUGGGAUUCGAUUUUUGUGAAUGUCGCGCACACAUGUACAUCGAAUAAAGGAGCGUGACACAAAAAAGAGCUCAAUUAAUGAAUUUUUUUUAAUUCACUCACUAAUCAUAAUCCCUUCUUUAAAAAAAAACACUCUCGCCUCUUUCUCUUCUCUCGCCUCUCUUCUUUCACCACACGAAUGCAAGCUCAGUUGGUGACAUUGCUCGCUUCUCUUCGCCUAUCUCACAAACAUAGCCCAUUCACCUCUCUUCCCUUGCCUCGCGAACACAACUCAGCUCAGCUGGUGAAUUCCUGGUUUGUGCUUGAUUUGAGAGCCUUAAGCCCGUGUGGAGUUCCCGGUUUGUGUUGGGUACUUAUUUUUCCACUUUCGCUUCCUAGGUUGUGCUUGAUCGGAGAGCUUCAAGCUCGUGCCUUGCGGUAUGGAAUAACCUCGACGAGCUUUGCCACGGCUGGAUGGAGGAGGCCUGGGGAGAAGUCCCUGAAGCUAGACCUUAGGCUCAGCAGGGAGUACUUUGCUGUCAUAGAGGAGCAGAUCAUCAGUUUGCCUUGUUCGGAGAUGUGAAAGAGUUUGUAUCUUUGUUGUUCCGUUUUUCUGUUGCAUGUUUUUCGGUUGAUAUGAGUUUCGAGCUGCAUUUGUCGGGGAAUGAAUGCAAUCGGACUAGUCGCUUCGCAUCUCCUCUGUACUGUAUAAUUGAUUAGAGUCAAACCCGUGAUUUGGCUGGAAAACACGAUGUUUAUCUGUUCGUCUGAUCGAUCAAUGUAGCCAUGUUUUUUUGCUUUUGA
Molecule: RNA transcript, 4420 nt
Organism: Syzygium oleosum
Lineage: Eukaryota; Viridiplantae; Streptophyta; Magnoliopsida; Myrtales; Myrtaceae
Gene name: NAC domain-containing protein 82-like
Exons: 8
Source: RefSeq, a predicted model, not a curated record